Molecule: ribosomal RNA, 554 nt
Filed under: Cynopoecilus melanotaenia
Lineage: Eukaryota; Metazoa; Chordata; Actinopteri; Cyprinodontiformes; Rivulidae
Description: partial 16S ribosomal RNA
Rfam family: Bacterial large subunit ribosomal RNA
Source: RNAcentral
AAACAUCGCCUCUUGUCAUAAUAUAAGAGGUCCCGCCUGCCCUGUGACACAAUGUUUAACGGCCGCGGUAUUCUGACCGUGUGAAGGUAGCGUAAUCACUUGUUUUUUAAAUGAAGACCCGUAUGAAUGGCAUAACGAGGGCUUAACUGUCUCGUUCUUUUAGUCAAUGAAAUUGAUUUCCUCGUGCAGAAGCGAGAAUAAGCACAUAAGACGAAAAGACCCUGUGGAGCUUUAGGCCACAAUAGUUUAGACUCAACAUAAGCUUCUAACCCUAUCUACGCCUUCGGUUGGGGUGACCGCGGAGAAAAAAAUACCCUCCAUAAGAAUACAUCCAUCUUUACAGCUGAGAGCCACACCUCAAAGCUUUAGAAACCUCUAAUCUUUUGAUCCGGUUCGCCGAUUAAUGAAACAAGUUACCCCAGGGAUAACAGCGCAAUCCCCUUUUAGAGUCCCUAUCGCCAAGGGGGUUUACGACCUCGAUGUUGGAUCAGGACAUCCUAAUGGCGCAGCAGUUAUUAAGGGUUCGUUUGUUCAACGAUUAAAGUCCUACGUGA